This is a small nucleolar RNA of Malania oleifera, 106 nucleotides long. The record is from RefSeq and is a predicted model, not a curated record. Lineage: Eukaryota; Viridiplantae; Streptophyta; Magnoliopsida; Santalales; Ximeniaceae.
ACUUGAUGAUGUGGGCAUGUAUGCAAAAGGUCCCCAAAGCUCUCCCGAGUCUUGAAAAAUUGCUCACCAUAUAUCUAUGAGAAACUAGUGAUGGCUUUCCUAAGCU